RNAcentral lists this ribosomal RNA (370 nucleotides) under uncultured bacterium. RNAcentral describes it as "bacterial SSU rRNA". It matches the Rfam family "Bacterial small subunit ribosomal RNA", at positions 527 to 896 of the family's 1533-position model. The record is from RNAcentral.
GUAGGCAGCGAGCGUUGUUCGGAGUUACUGGGCGUAAAGGGUGUGUAGGCGGUUGUUUAAGUUUGGUGUGAAAUCUCCCGGCUCAACUGGGAGGGUGCGCCGAAUACUGAAUGACUUGGAGUGCGGGAGAGGUGAGUGGAAUUCCUGGUGUAGCGGUGAAAUGCGUAGAUAUCAGGAGGAACACCGGUGGUGUAGACGGCUCACUGGACCGUAACUGACGCUGAGACACGAAAGCGUGGGUAGCAAACAGGAUUAGAUACCCUGGUAGUCCACGCCCUAAACGAUGCAUAUUUGGUGUGGGCAGUUCAUUCUGUCCGUGCCGGAGCUAACGCGUUAAAUAUGCCGCCUGGGGAGUACAGUCGCAAGGCUG